UAUCUAAUACCCAUCUUUCAUUUAAGUUCGUCAAACUCUUUGAUUCCAAGGAUUUUAGUAAAUAAAUCGAUCAAGUUCUUCUUUUCAUCGAUCUUCUGAAGAUCGAUAUCACCUUAAUCCACGAUCUCUCGUGUAAGAUGAUAGCAUUGUAGAGUGUGAUUGGUUCUCUAAUGGGACUACUAUUCAUUCGCUCGAGCUGUGGCUCCAAUACCGUCACAACACAGC
RNAcentral lists this long non-coding RNA (225 nucleotides) under Elaeis guineensis (African oil palm). RNAcentral's name for it is "long non-coding RNA (EGUI_LNC012689)". Lineage: Eukaryota; Viridiplantae; Streptophyta; Magnoliopsida; Arecales; Arecaceae. The record is from RNAcentral.